UACGGAGGGUGCAAGCGUUGCUCGGAAUUAUUGGGCGUAAAGGGCAGGUAGGUGGUCUCAUUUGUCUGGGGUGAAAGCCUUGAGCUUAACUCAAGAAGUGCCCCAGAAACGGUGAGACUGGAGUCCUGGAGAGGGUCGUGGAAUUCCCGGUGUAGCGGUGAAAUGCGUAGAGAUCGGGAGGAACACCAGAGGCGAAGGCGGCGACCUGGACAGGCACUGACACUCAACUGCGAAAGCGUGGGGAGCAAACAGG
RNAcentral lists this ribosomal RNA (253 nucleotides) under uncultured bacterium. RNAcentral's name for it is "partial 16S ribosomal RNA". It matches the Rfam family "Bacterial small subunit ribosomal RNA", at positions 524 to 776 of the family's 1533-position model. The record is from RNAcentral.